This 668-nucleotide ribosomal RNA is filed under the name uncultured bacterium. Its description in RNAcentral is "partial 16S ribosomal RNA". It matches the Rfam family "Bacterial small subunit ribosomal RNA", at positions 8 to 649 of the family's 1533-position model. The record is from RNAcentral.
AGAGUUUGAUCCUGGCUCAGGACGAACGCUGGCGGCGUGCUUAACACAUGCAAGUCGAACGAGACGAUUGAAAGCUUGCUUUUGAAAGUCGAGUGGCAAACGGGUGAGUAACGCGUAGACAACCUGCCGUAAAGAUGGGGACAACAGUCCGAAAGGACUGCUAAUACCGAAUGUUGUGGAACUUCCGCAUGGGAGCUCCACUAAAGAUGGCCUCUACUUGUAAGCUAUCGCUUUACGAUGGGUCUGCGUCUGAUUAGCUAGUUGGUGGGGUAACGGCUUACCAAGGCGACGAUCAGUAGCCGGUCUGAGAGGAUGAACGGCCACAUUGGAACUGAGACACGGUCCAGACUCCUACGGGAGGCAGCAGUGGGGAAUCUUCCGCAAUGGGCGCAAGCCUGACGGAGCAACGCCGCGUGAGUGAAGAAGGGUUUCGACUCGUAAAGCUCUGUUGUCGGGGACGAAUGUGGAGGUUGUGAAUAACAGCUUCCAACGACGGUACCUGACGAGGAAGCCACGGCUAACUACGUGCCAGCAGCCGCGGUAAUACGUANGUGGCGAGCGUUGUCCGGAAUUAUUGGGCGUAANGGGAGCGCNGGNGGGAGGUCAAGUUNUAUCNUUAAAGUNNGGGCUCACCCCGNGNNGGGAUGGAAACCGGNNNUCUUGGNNGC